RNAcentral lists this ribosomal RNA (513 nucleotides) under Lomentospora prolificans. RNAcentral describes it as "Scedosporium prolificans Eukaryotic small subunit ribosomal RNA". It matches the Rfam family "Eukaryotic small subunit ribosomal RNA", at positions 559 to 1078 of the family's 1831-position model. Lineage: Eukaryota; Fungi; Ascomycota; Sordariomycetes; Microascales; Microascaceae. The record is from Rfam by way of RNAcentral.
GUCUGGUGCCAGCAGCCGCGGUAAUUCCAGCUCCAAUAGCGUAUAUUAAAGUUGUUGUGGUUAAAAAGCUCGUAGUUGAACCUUGGGCCUGGCUGGCCGGUCCCCCUCACCGGGUGCACUGAUCCAGCCGGGCCUUUCCCUCUGUGGAACCCCAUGGCCUUCACUGGCUGUGGCGGGGAAACAGGACUUUUACUUUGAAAAAAUUAGAGUGCUCCAGGCAGGCCUAUGCUCGAAUACAUUAGCAUGAAAUAAUAAAAUAGGACGUGUGUUUCUAUUUUGUUGUUUUCUAGGACCGCCGUAAUGAUUAAUAGGGACAGUCGGGGGCAUCAGUAUUCAAUUGUCAGAGGUGAAAUUCUUGGAUCUAUUGAAGACUAACUACUGCGAAAGCAUUUGCCAAGGAUGUUUUCAUUGAUAAGGAACGAAAGUUAGGGGAUCGAAGACGAUCAGAUACCGUCGUAGUCUUAACUAUAAACUAUGCCGACUAGGGAUCGGACGAUGUUAUUCUUUGACGCG